GAUGAACGCUGACAGAAUGCUUAACACAUGCAAGUCGAUUCGAUUUACCUUCGGGUAUUGAGGAUGGCGGACGGGUGAGUAACGCGUAAGGAACUUGCCUCUUGGUCUGGGACAACUGUUGGAAACGACAGCUAAUACCGGAUAUUAUGAGAUUCUCGCAUGGGAAACUUAUGAAAGCUAUAUGCGCCAAGAGAGAGCCUUGCGUUCCAUUAGCUAGUUGGUGGGGUAACGGCCCACCAAGGCGACGAUGGAUAGCCGGCCUGAGAGGGUGAACGGCCACAAGGGGACUGAGACACGGCCCUUACUCCUACGGGAGGCAGCAGUGGGGAAUAUUGGACAAUGGGCCACAAGCCUGAUCCAGCAAUUCUGUGUGCACGAUGAAGGUCUUCGGAUUGUAAAGUGCUUUCAGUUGGGAAGAAGAAAGUGACGGUACCAACAGAAGAAGCGACGGCUAAAUACGUGCCAGCAGCCGCGGUAAUACGUAUGUCGCAAGCGUUAUCCGGAUUUAUUGGGCGUAAAGCGCGUCUAGGCGGAAAAAUAANUCUGAUGUUAAAAUGCGGGGCUCAACUCCGUAUUGCGUUGGAAACUGUUUUUCUAGAGUACUGGAGANGUGGGCGGAACUACAAGUGUAGAGGUGAAAUUCGUA
RNAcentral lists this ribosomal RNA (646 nucleotides) under uncultured prokaryote. RNAcentral's name for it is "bacterial SSU rRNA". It matches the Rfam family "Bacterial small subunit ribosomal RNA", at positions 28 to 692 of the family's 1533-position model. The record is from RNAcentral.